Long non-coding RNA from Equus caballus (horse), 4127 nucleotides. The record is from Ensembl. Lineage: Eukaryota; Metazoa; Chordata; Mammalia; Perissodactyla; Equidae.
CUCUUUUCUGUUCUGCUUGGGUGAUUUCCUCUAAUCUUUCGUCUAGCUCGCUGAGCCGUUCUUCUGCUUCCUCUACUCUGCUAUUGAGUCCCUCUAGUGAAUUUCUCAUUUAGAGUAUUGUAUUCUUCAUUUCUGAUUGGUUCUUUUUUAUAUCUUCCGGUUCUUUGCUGAUGUGCUCACUGUGUUCAUCCAUUCUUCUCCACAUAUCUGUGAGCAUCCUCAUUAUAUUUUGUUUGAAUUCUUUGUCAAGGAGGUCGCUGGUUUCUGUUUCACUUAGUUCUUUUUCUGGUGUUUUGUAGUGUUCCCUUGCUUGGAAAGUAUUCCUUUGCCUCCUCAUUAUGCCUCUUUCUCUGUGCUAUUUUCUUUGUACUAGGUGAGUUGGCUAUGUCUCCUGAUCUUGGAGAAGUGGCCUUAUGUAUGAGAUGCCUUAUGAGGCCCGAGAUUCUUAAUCUUAUCAAGAAGAAGAAAAUAAACUAUGAGUUUAACAGCUGACUGAGAGAUGUGGGCAAACAUUGGGUCUUUCCUUAACAACCCUUCCUAGUUAUAGAAUUAUUUUAAGAAAUCAUCCUUUAGGGUGGAUGAACGAGUGCUAAGAAAAUAUAUCUCUACCUGGUUGCCACAGGUAAUGAUCUGUGGAAUUUCUCCAAAUCCCAGGCAGAAGUCAGAAGAGUGACCAAGAGUGAAGGUUCCAGAGAAGAUGAAUGUCAGGUUAUAGAUAUGAUAGAGUCCAUCUAUGGAGACAAGACUGAAUAAAAAUGGUCAGGCUCCACUAGUAAUAUCAUAUGCAUGAGGAGGGGGAAGCAGGAGGAUGUGGCUUGAGGUGGGGUAUUUCCUUCACUCCUUCCUGUGCUCCUUCACGGCAUCAGACCUGUCUCAAUAUCUGAGGCUCUCCCAACCUCCUUCAAAUCCCUCUCCAUUUUUUUCCUCACCAGUGUUUCCCCCAAGAAAUCUCUUGCAUGUCUAAUCUUGUCUCUGCAUGUGCUUCUGAUUGUUUUGUCCACAUGUGGACCAGAGCAUUUGCGGGGGAAGUUUAUAUCCCUGGAAUCUGUGGUGACAGGAACAUGAAUACAAGUAGAAGUGGUAGAAUGCAAAUACAAAGGGGAAACUCUAGGAGCUGUUUGGUCAACUGUCUCUUCACAUUUUGACAUUCUUUUACUCCUUCAAGCCUAAAAUACUUGGACACAAUGGUUUUUACUUUGUUAUUAUUAUACAUUGUAAUGAUUUCAUUUAUCCAAAACCCAACUUCAAAUUGUGCUUCUUAAUACCUUCACAACAGGGCACACAUCUUUUAUUUACUUCAUUCCUCAAACCUUCUGUCUACAUCCAUUCACAUGAAUGCAGAUUUUGUCUUGUAAGAGACACAAGGAGUUUAAAUGAAUGGGUUGGGGCAUAUAGUAUGGUGUCUGCUCCUAUUUCAAUGUGGGGUAUUGGGUAUUAGCUUUAUAGUCAAAGAAAAGUCCGAAACUUACAGAACUAUACAAGAGAGACUUUUUUUGAGAUUUGGGGCAUAGACAGAGCUGUCUGGGGACUCAGGUGAUAAAAUUUGACACAGAAUUGGAUAGGAUGUCAUUCUCUUUUCUUCCAUAAGGAUCCCAAAAUAAUUCUGAGAACCCAAAGCAUGGAAAUGUAGAAGUUUCUGUUGUCAGCAACCUUGGCUUGGACCUUGGAAUUUCGAUGACUGACAAUGUGAAGAGUGGUACCUCUGCUUAUGGUUUUAAUGGCAGGUAGAUACCAACUAGCUGGAGACACAGUGGUCAUUCCAGUGACAAAUGGAUUCGUAGGCAUAUAUAAGGCAACCUUUUGGUGAGCCCCAGAAAAACUGAAGGGGAUUUUCGGAAAAACUAGUUUUCAUUAAUUAGUUUGUUGAGAAAUAAAAUUACUAAAAUAUAAUCUUUAGAAGUGAACAGGUCUUCAAGGAUGCUUUGGUUAAUUUUGGGAUCUUUUUCAGGAUUUUUAUAAUCCUUAUGCAGUGCACAUCUACAACCACUACUCUUGCUCAUAGAAGUAGAAUUAUCACUUUUUAGCAGGAUUAUUCUCAAAGCUAGGCAACCAGGCCCCUGCUUAGGGCCUCAUGUUUUGAGGGACUCCUCUUUACUCCUCCUCUGUAUGUCCUCCCCACAGGGUGAGGAGGCUAUAGCCCCAGGGCAUGUGCUUAUUCAGAGCCUAUGACCUCCACUUUAGACUAUAUUUGAGUUAUCCUGGAACUCCUUAUCCAAAUGGCUGGAAGCCUGCACCCAGAGUCAACAUGGUCCUCUUCUUCCUGGAUGUCCUCCCAAGGGCAGACCAUGCUACUGGUAUGUGCACCUGUAGAUACAAGAGUGACCACAGGAUGGAUAUCUGGAGAAGUGUGGAUGAAGGUUGGCUUUGUGAAAUUGGGGUGUGCCUAUGGAUACGUUUGAGGCACCAUGCAUUGCAAGAAAAACCUGAUAGUGAGAAGAGAAAGGGGGUGAGAGGGUGGGCCAUGGAACUAGGGUCUCUAGAUAUACUUUUACCUCAGGCCCUGAAAAUAUUGGGAGAAGUCCUAAACUUGGAACAAUGUCAGUGUCUUUGUCAGAGAAUUGGUGCAUGAAAUGUGGAUGAGGAUGUUCAGAGAUCAAGUCUGGCUUGAUGGAUUUCAGUGAAUUGAGAUAUAGUUGGAUUUGGAGAGAUUUUGCAGGUGGCCUUCAAGCUCCUAGGAACCAACUACUCAUGAGGGAAGAUUUUAAGUUUGCAACUUACUAGAAUUUUCCCAGCAUGUUAAUUUCCCCAUAAUUCUCCAGGAUAUAUUAGGAAGAGACUGAUACAUGGAAAGUGAUUUUAAUAUUUAUAUUUAGUCCCUGGGAUUUCUAAAAAGACCAACCCUUUUUGUGCAUGCUGGAGGAUGUUUCAAAAAUCUUUAGGUAUGAGAGUAACAUGAAAGCUCAUAGUAGCUUUUUUUUCAUAAGUGUACAGUGAUAAUGUCAUUGCUGUGAUGGCUAAUGGACUGUAAGCUUGUGUUUUAUUGGGUUUCAAAAACUCUUGGUUUUAAUUUCUAAUAUAAUAAGUAUCAAUAUAUAACCCAAAAAACAAAGUUUUUUGUGGUAUGCAAUAAUUUUUAAGAUCUAAAAGUUUGAGAAUCGCUGGGUUUCUGUUUCUCACCAUGACACUAAGAGACAAAUCACUGCUCAGAUACACCAGUGUUUUGCUAACAGCUAUAAGAAGGGGACCAACAGCCUUGUAAUUUUAGGGCUGCCCAGUAAAGUGGUGGAAUACUACUUUUCUAUUGCCACCCACCACUAAAGCCACUGUGAAAAACAAAACAAGACAAAUCAAGGCAAGUCACUAAAGUAAUUACUGCCAACUGUUGACUCUCUACUCCCAAUUUUAGUUGUCAGGAAUCAGAACAGAAGAAGGUCCUUGACCCUUACCCAGGAGACAUUUGUUGGGCAGUAUUCCUGACCCCUUGGGAAAGAGAGAGGACAGUGAGGUAAUGAUUCAGGGGUUGGAGAUGAGGCCACUGAUGUCUCAUACUGGAAAGUUGGUGCAUAUUUUUGCAAGUCCUAUCUAGUGUCCUUUGAUCUUGAAGGUAUGUGAAGGACUUCUCACCUGUGGGAAAACAAGCUACCACUAAAUACAGAGGGAGACUCUUAUUCUGAAGAGGACCCUGGUGAAUGAAUGGAAUAUUUUAGAUGGGGUGGCAGUGGAGAGUUGUGAGAAGGAACAGAGUAAAAUAAGAUAUGGAUCUGUUUGCCAUCUCAUGCUAUUCCUGGGGUGCUAUGGGUAGAAGCCAUACAAAAAAUUGGAUUCAUAGUGAGACUGUUUCUUGGGUCCCACCCCUGAAGAAGUACACAGAUAGAUCACCCGAACAAUUGUGCUCUCCUUUAGUCUCUAAAAAAAUAAUUAUUGGAAGAAACAGUGAUCUUUAUAAGGGAAUAUAAGGAUGUUUUCACAGGGAGGGAAACAAUUUUCUUUUCUGGCUUACUCUAUCUUCCUUCCAGUGUUAUCUGUUUAGCAGAUAUACUAUUUUGAAAUAAUCUGAGAUAUUUUCCAUGCCUCUUAAUUCUUGCCAUCUCAGCCUUUCAUACAUUGAAGGGAGCAGAACUCAGCCAGCAAUAACAAUACAAAAUAAUGAUAAUGACUAACAUUUACAUAGUGCUGCUUACUACAUG